Molecule: unclassified non-coding RNA, 509 nt
Filed under: uncultured Glomus
Lineage: Eukaryota; Fungi; Glomeromycota; Glomeromycetes; Glomerales; Glomeraceae
Description: SSU rRNA
Rfam family: Eukaryotic small subunit ribosomal RNA
Source: RNAcentral
AGCAGCCGCGGUAAUUCCAGCUCCAAUAGCGUAUAUUAAAGUUGUUGCAGUUAAAAGCUCGUAGUUGAAUUUCGGAAUCAAUGGAUCGGUCAUGCCACUCGGUGUGUACUGGUUUGAUUGGUUCUCACCUUCUAAGGAACCGUGAUGUCAUUAAUUUGGUGUCGCGGGGAAUUAGGACUGUUACUUUGAAAAAUUGAGUGUUUAAAGCAAGCUCACGCUUGAAUACAUUAGCAUGGAAUAAUGAAAUAGGACAUUGUAUUCUAUUUUGUUGGUUUCUAGGAUCGAUGUAAUGAUUAAUAGGGAUAGUUGGGGGCAUUAGUAUUCAAUUGUCAGAGGUGAAAUUCUUGGAUUUAUUGAAGACUAACUCUGCGAAAGCAUUUGCCAAGGAUGUUUUCAUUAAUCAAGAACGAAAGUUAGGGGAUCGAAGACGAUCAGAUACCGUCGUAGUCUUAACCAUAAACUAUGCCGACUAGGGAUCGGAUGAUGUUAAUUUUUAAUGACUUCAUUCC